CCGCGGUAAUACGGAGGGGGUUAGCGUUGUUCGGAAUUACUGGGCGUAAAGCGCGCGUAGGCGGAUUGGAAAGUUGGGGGUGAAAUCCCGGGGCUCAACCCCGGAACUGCCUCCAAAACUCCCAGUCUUGAGUUCGAGAGAGGUGAGUGGAAUUCCGAGUGUAGAGGUGAAAUUCGUAUAUAUUCGGAGGAACACCAGUGGCGAAGGCGGCUCACUGGCUCGAUACUGACGCUGAGGUGCGAAAGUGUGGGGAGCAAACAGGAUUAGAUACCCUGGUAGUCCACACCGU
Molecule: ribosomal RNA, 289 nt
Filed under: bacterium
Lineage: Bacteria
Description: partial 16S ribosomal RNA
Rfam family: Bacterial small subunit ribosomal RNA
Source: RNAcentral